Molecule: ribosomal RNA, 407 nt
Filed under: uncultured bacterium
Lineage: Bacteria
Description: bacterial SSU rRNA
Rfam family: Bacterial small subunit ribosomal RNA
Source: RNAcentral
UGGGGAAUAUCGCACAAUGGGCGCAAGCCUGAUGCAGCAACGCCGCGUGAGGGACGACGGCCUUCGGGUUGUAAACCUCUUUUGGCAGGGAAGAAGCGAAAGUGACGGUACCUGCAGAAAAAGCACCGGCUAACUACGUGCCAGCAGCCGCGGUGAUACGUAGGGUGCAAGCGUUGUCCGGAAUUAUUGGGCGUAAAGAGCUCGUAGGCGGUUUGUCGCGUCUGCUGUGAAAACCCGAGGCUCAACCUCGGGCCUGCAGUGGGUACGGGCAAACUAGAGUGCGGUAGGGGAGAUUGGAAUUCCUGGUGUAGCGGUGGAAUGCGCAGAUAUCAGGAGGAACACCGAUGGCGAAGGCAGAUCUCUGGGCCGUAACUGACGCUGAGGAGCGAAAGCAUGGGGAGCGAACA